This 469-nucleotide ribosomal RNA is filed under the name uncultured Thauera sp. Its description in RNAcentral is "bacterial SSU rRNA". It matches the Rfam family "Bacterial small subunit ribosomal RNA", at positions 910 to 1382 of the family's 1533-position model. Lineage: Bacteria; Pseudomonadati; Pseudomonadota; Betaproteobacteria; Rhodocyclales; Zoogloeaceae. The record is from RNAcentral.
UUGACGGGACCCGCACAAGCGGUGGAUGAUGUGGAUUAAUUCGAUGCAACGCGAAAACCUUACCUACCCUUGACAUGUCUGGAACCUUGCUGAGAGGCGAGGGUGCCUUCGGGAGCCAGAACACAGGUGCUGCAUGGCUGUCGUCAGCUCGUGUCGUGAGAUGUUGGGUUAAGUCCCGCAACGAGCGCAACCCUUGUCAUUAGUUGCCAUCAUUUAGUUGGGCACUCUAAUGAGACUGCCGGUGACAAACCGGAGGAAGGUGGGGAUGACGUCAAGUCCUCAUGGCCCUUAUGUCCAGGGCUACACACGUGCUACAAUGGCCGGUACAAAGGGGCGCAAGACCGCGAGGUGGAGCAAAUCCCAAAAAACCGGUCUCAGUUCGGAUUGGAAUCUGCAACUCGACUCCAUGAAGUUGGAAUCGCUAGUAAUCGCGUAUCAGCAUGACGCGGUGAAUACGUUCCCGGGCCUU